This 259-nucleotide long non-coding RNA is filed under the name Trifolium pratense (red clover). Its description in RNAcentral is "long non-coding RNA (TPRA_LNC011780)". Lineage: Eukaryota; Viridiplantae; Streptophyta; Magnoliopsida; Fabales; Fabaceae. The record is from RNAcentral.
AUAAGUUUGAUAUAACAAUAAUUUUUGUGGCAAAAAUUAACAUAUCCCAACGAAAAAAUAUAAAAAUGACAACAAAUAUUAUCGUUGACAAAAUUACUAACGGCAACAAUACUAAAUUUCGCUGCAAAACUUUUUGCAACGCAACUUAUCGCAACAACCUGCAGCGACUUUUUUGUUGUUGGGGUAAAGCUCUUUUCCGUCGACUUUUUGCGUUUACCAACUACUUUUUUCGCUGCAAAAAAUCUAUUUUCCUGUAGUG